RNAcentral lists this ribosomal RNA (504 nucleotides) under Lachnoniptus lindae. RNAcentral describes it as "partial 16S ribosomal RNA". Lineage: Eukaryota; Metazoa; Arthropoda; Insecta; Coleoptera; Ptinidae. The record is from RNAcentral.
GUCUUUUUGAUUUUUAUUUAAAGUCUAAUCUGCCCGAUGAAUAUUUUUCAAUGGCCGCGGUAUUUUGACCGUGCAAAGGUAGCAUAAUCAUUAGCUUUUUAACUGGAAGCUUGUAUGAAGGAUUGGACGAGAAUUUGACUGUCUCUAUUUUAAUAUUAAAAGUUUAUUUUUGAGUCAAAAAGCUCAAAUUUUUUAAAAAGACGAGAAGACCCUAUAGAUUUUUAUAUUUUGGUUAAUUUUUUAUUGUUAGAAUUUAUUUUGAAAUUGAUCACUUAUUUAAUUGGGGUGAUUAAAAAAUUUAGUUAACUUUUUUUUGUUUAUUACUAUUUAAAUGAAUUUUUGAUCCAUUUUUUAUGAUUAUAAGAUUAAAUUACCUUAGGGAUAACAGCGUAAUUUUUCUUAAAAGUUCUUAUUUUUGGAAAAGUUUACGACCUCGAUGUUGGAUUAAAAUUAAUUUUUGAUGCAGAAGUUAAAGUAUUGAGUCUGUUCGACUUUUAAAAUUUU